This 460-nucleotide ribosomal RNA is filed under the name uncultured bacterium. Its description in RNAcentral is "partial 16S ribosomal RNA". It matches the Rfam family "Bacterial small subunit ribosomal RNA", at positions 338 to 795 of the family's 1533-position model. The record is from RNAcentral.
CCUACGGGUGGCAGCAGUGAGGAAUAUUGGUCAAUGGACGCAAGCCUGAACCAGCCAAGUAGCGUGAAGGAUGACUGCCCUACGGGUUGUAAACUUCUUUUAUACGGGGAUAAAGUGAGUCACGUGUGCCUUUUUGUAUGUACUUUAUGAAUAAGGAUCGGCUAACUCCGUGCCAGCAGCCGCGGUAAUACGGAGGGUCCGAGCGUUAUCCGGAUUUAUUGGGUUUAAAGGGAGCGUAGAUGGGUUGUUAAGUCCGUUGUGAAAUUUUGCGGCUCAACCGUAAAAUUGCAAUUGAUACUGGCAGUCUUGAGUACAGCUGAGGUAGGCGGAAUUCGUGGUGUAGCGGUGAAAUGCUUAGAUAUCACGAAGAACUCCGAUUGCGAAGGCAGCUUACUAAACUGCCACUGACAUUGAUGCUCGAAAGUGUGGGUAUCAAACAGGAUUAGAUACCCUGGUAGUC